Astyanax mexicanus (Mexican tetra) is the source of this 799-nucleotide long non-coding RNA. RefSeq lists it as uncharacterized. NCBI's taxonomy places the organism in Eukaryota, Metazoa, Chordata, Actinopteri, Characiformes, Acestrorhamphidae. The record is from RefSeq and is a predicted model, not a curated record. The transcript has 3 exons.
GGUCUGGAGGUUUGGACUGCACAAAGACUGGCCAGGUCUGGAGGUUUGGACUGCACAAAGACUGGUCAGGUCUGGAGGUUUGGACUGCACAAAGACUGGCCAGGUCUGGAGGUUUGGACUGCACAAAGACUGGUCAGGUCUGGAGGUUUGGACUGCACAAAGACUGGACAGGUCUGGAGGUUUGGACUGCACAAAGACUGGUCAGGUCUGGAGGUUUGGACUGCACAAAGACUGGACAGGUCUGGAGGUUUGGACUGCACAAAGACUGGACAGGUCUGGAGGUUUGGACUGCACAAAGACUGGACAGGUCUGGAUGUUUGGACUGCACAAAGACUGGACAAGUGGGUCUUGGCUUGGACAAAAAACUGGUAGAGAAUUAUAGCUGUGCAAUAUGGUAAAAAAUAUAUAGCUACAACUAUUUUAAGGGCAAUAUAGUCCACUGCAAAUUUCAGUGUUAAAUUUCAGUGUUGUCACAAUGUGCUGGGCAAAGAAAUAAGUAUUAAAUAUCAGUAUUUUUCACUUUUAAACAUCUUUUGGAAAUGUGAAGGUCCAACUUUACUCUGUUUCUAACACUUUAUAGUGAUGGAGGGUAUUGAAGAAAUAAUAAUAAUUGAAUAAUCAACUAAAAAAGUGCUCAAAAUCAUAUUAGUUGACUACCAAAACAAGCAUUAGAUGCAACCUUGGUAAAAACAAUAUCUUGGUAAAAACAAUAUAUCAUAUUUAUGAUAUGACCUUGGGUUAAACAAACGAAAAUGUAUGAAAAUCAUCAUACCAAUAUCUUAUCCAUCUUCAUCGUUAU